UACGGGGGGAGCAAGCGUUGUUCGGAUUUACUGGGCGUAAAGGGCGCGUAGGCGGCCACCGCAAGUCGACUGUGAAAUCUCCGGGCUUAACCCGGAAAGGUCAGCCGAUACUGCGGGGCUAGAGUGCAGAAGGGGCAACUGGAAUUCUCGGUGUAGCGGUGAAAUGCGUAGAUAUCGAGAGGAACACCUGCGGCGAAGGCGGGUCUCUGGGCCGAUACUGACGCUGAGGAGCGAAAGCGUGGGGAGCGAACAGG
This 254-nucleotide ribosomal RNA is filed under the name uncultured bacterium. RNAcentral's name for it is "partial 16S ribosomal RNA". It matches the Rfam family "Bacterial small subunit ribosomal RNA", at positions 524 to 776 of the family's 1533-position model. The record is from RNAcentral.